UACGGAGGGUGCAAGCGUUAUCCGGAUUCAAUGGGUUUAAAGGGUGCGUAGGUGGGCAGGUAAGUCAGUGGUGAAAUCUUUGGGCUUAACCCGAAAACUGCCAUUGAUACUAUUUGUCUUGGAUAUUGUGGAGGUCAGCGGAAUAUGUCAUGUAGCGGUGAAAUGCUUAGAUAUGACAUAGAACACCAAUUGCGAAGGCAGCUGGCUACACAUAUAUUGACACUGAUGCACGAAAGCGUGGGGAUCAAACAGG
Molecule: ribosomal RNA, 253 nt
Filed under: uncultured bacterium
Lineage: Bacteria
Description: partial 16S ribosomal RNA
Rfam family: Bacterial small subunit ribosomal RNA
Source: RNAcentral